AUUGAACGCUGGCGGCAGGCCUAACACAUGCAAGUCGAGCGGAUGAAGGGAGCUUGCUCCUGGAUUCAGCGGCGGACGGGUGAGUAAUGCCUAGGAAUCUGCCUGGUAGUGGGGGAUAACGUCCGGAAACGGGCGCUAAUACCGCAUACGUCCUGAGGGAGAAAGUGGGGGAUCUUCGGACCUCACGCUAUCAGAUGAGCCUAGGUCGGAUUAGCUAGUUGGUGGGGUAAAGGCCUACCAAGGCGACGAUCCGUAACUGGUCUGAGAGGAUGAUCAGUCACACUGGAACUGAGACACGGUCCAGGCUCCUACGGGAGGCAGCAGUGGGGAAUAUUGGACAACGGGCGAAAGCCUGAUCCAGUCAUGCCGCGUGUGUGAAGAAGGUCUUCGGGUUGUAAAGCACGUUAAGUUGGGAGGAAGGGCAGUAAGUUAAUACCUUGCUGUUUUGACGUUACCAACAGAAUAAGCACCGGCUAACUUCGUG
RNAcentral lists this ribosomal RNA (484 nucleotides) under uncultured bacterium. RNAcentral describes it as "partial 16S ribosomal RNA". It matches the Rfam family "Bacterial small subunit ribosomal RNA", at positions 30 to 507 of the family's 1533-position model. The record is from RNAcentral.